RNAcentral lists this ribosomal RNA (546 nucleotides) under Triticum aestivum (bread wheat). Its description in RNAcentral is "partial small subunit ribosomal RNA". The record is from RNAcentral. Lineage: Eukaryota; Viridiplantae; Streptophyta; Magnoliopsida; Poales; Poaceae.
AUGAUCCUCAAAUAUUAUGGUACAUAUGACUCCAUGAGUGAAGGAGAAAUGGAAGCACUUGAGCAAGUGGCCAUGCACCGGCAAGUGAACGAUGAUGAAGAGGAUCAAGUCUUCUGUGACAAAGAUUCAAGCCCCGCUCUCGUUGUUUCCAAGGUCUUGACUCUUCAACAUCAACAAGAAGAAGACAAAAGAUGCCAUAUCUUUCAUACUAAGGCCGACAUCAAUGGAAGAUCUGUCAAGGUAAUCAUCGAUGGAGGGAGUUGCCAUAACUUAGCAAGUGAAGAACUAUGCUCCAAGCUCCAAUUGGUCAAGAUGAAGCACCCACAUCCCUACAAAGUUCAAUGGCUUCGCGACUCCGGCACAAUCCAACUCGAACAUAGAGUGCAAGUCUCCUUCAAAAUCGGAGCUUACGAAGACACUUUGGAGUGUGAUGUCGUUCCAAUGACCGUUUGCCACCUUCUUCUUGGGCAACCAUGGCAAUUUGAUCGAGGUGUCAUCCACAACGGCCGUACGAAUCACUAUAUCUUCAAGAUGAAAGGAAAGUAG